RNAcentral lists this RNase P RNA (295 nucleotides) under Intoshia linei. Its description in RNAcentral is "Nuclear RNase P". It matches the Rfam family "Nuclear RNase P". Rfam says of the family: Ribonuclease P (RNase P) is a ubiquitous endoribonuclease, found in archaea, bacteria and eukarya as well as chloroplasts and mitochondria. Its best characterised activity is the generation of mature 5'-ends of tRNAs by cleaving the 5'-leader elements of precursor-tRNAs. Cellular RNase Ps are ribonucleoproteins. The record is from Rfam by way of RNAcentral. Lineage: Eukaryota; Metazoa; Orthonectida; Rhopaluridae.
GUUGUUUGAAGUCGACAAUAGAGGCAACAUAAAUGGAACUUUUCCAUACUUUAGCCUUUGGGAAGGUCUGAGAUAUGUCACCUAAUAUUGGUAUAGUUCAGCAACACGUCCAGUAAUGGAUUUGAUGGAGAACAGAAACGAAUUUUCGGUAGAUUUCAUAACCAAUGAUCAGAGGUUGUCUAUCGAAAAAUGAAACGGCUCUUUCGACAAGAAUGCUCGUUAUAAACUGGCAAUAUUGUAGCUCAAUUUGUCGGGGAGGUUAACUCUAACUCAAUUCAGACUACUCUCAAACAAC